RNAcentral lists this ribosomal RNA (376 nucleotides) under uncultured cyanobacterium. RNAcentral's name for it is "bacterial SSU rRNA". It matches the Rfam family "Bacterial small subunit ribosomal RNA", at positions 402 to 795 of the family's 1533-position model. Lineage: Bacteria; Bacillati; Cyanobacteriota. The record is from RNAcentral.
UGAGGGAGGAAGGCUCUUGGGUUGUAAACCUCUUUUAUCAAGGAAGAUAAUGACGGUACUUGAUGAAUCAGCAUCGGCUAACUCCGUGCCAGCAGCCGCGGUAAUACGGAGGAUGCAAGCGUUAUCCGGAAUAAUUGGGCGUAAAGCGUUCGUAGGUGGUUCUGUAAGUCUGCUGUUAAAGCGUGUAGCUCAACUACAUAUAGGCGGUGGAAACUACAAAACUUGAGUGCGUUCGGGGUAGAGGGAAUUCCUGGUGUAGCGGUGAAAUGCGUAGAGAUCAGGAAGAACACCGGUGGCGAAGGCGCUCUACUAGACCGCAACUGACACUGAGGGACGAAAGCUAGGGGAGCGAAUGGGAUUAGAUACCCCAGUAGUC